RNAcentral lists this long non-coding RNA (745 nucleotides) under Helianthus annuus (common sunflower). The record is from RNAcentral. Lineage: Eukaryota; Viridiplantae; Streptophyta; Magnoliopsida; Asterales; Asteraceae.
CGCUCGAAGGUAUAAUUCUUGAUUAGGGUUUUGCUACUUCCCCAUUUCAAGCGACUCUUAAUCCAUUCAAGCAACGGUAAUGAGUAACCAAUACGCAAGCAGGCAACAAAUUUGAUUUUUCAGAACGUUAUUUUUAUUUGGAGGAAGAAAAUGGCUUUGACUGUGAUGAUUAUUAGGCUUCAGUCUUAUUGAGAUGAUGUCAAACAGCUUCAGUUACGCUAUGCAACAUCACUUAUUGGGUAAGUAUAAUUUAUUGAUUCGCUCUCUAUAUUUUUAAUUAGUCGGGUUGUGAACAAUACACACUUUUUUCAGAGGUCCAUCGACUCCAGCUACUUUUGUGGAUUUAUAUGCUAUUUUGAGCCCACCUUUCCUGAAUUUAUGACAAAGAGAGGCAGGGGCGUAGCUUAGUGUAAAGUGGGGGAUGCACCCGCCCGCCAGUGUUUCGGUUAGAAAUGUAAAAUUUCCUAUUUUUCGUCCAAAAUUUUUAAAAUUAAAUAGGAUUGUCUCCCCAAUUAUUUUGCCUAAAUAUUUAUACAAUAUAUAAAUUGGGUCCCAUGACUUUCCGUCCCCUCGGAACUUUUGGUCAAGCUCCGCCACUGAAGAGAGGUGUCUACACUCUUUUCUAUCCGGGGCUGCAUUUGCUUUUCCAAUUCCCUCUCGGUAUUCCGACUGUUGCCAUAAUCAUGGUUUUAAAAAACGGUUGAGGCGUGCGCCUCGAGGCGCGCCUCAAGGCGAAACGGCCAAA